This 253-nucleotide ribosomal RNA is filed under the name uncultured bacterium. Its description in RNAcentral is "partial 16S ribosomal RNA". It matches the Rfam family "Bacterial small subunit ribosomal RNA", at positions 524 to 776 of the family's 1533-position model. The record is from RNAcentral.
UACAGAGGGGGCAAGCGUUGUUCGGAAUUACUGGGCGUAAAGGGCGCGUAGGCGGCCUUCUAAGUCCGACGUGAAAUCCCUCGGCUCAACCGGGGAACUGCGUCUGAGACUGGAAGGCUUGAAUCCGGGAGAGGGAUGUGGAAUUCCAGGUGUAGCGGUGAAAUGCGUAGAUAUCUGGAGGAACACCGGUGGCGAAGGCGGCAUCCUGGACCGGUAUUGACGCUGAGGCGCGAAAGCCAGGGGAGCAAACGGG